UACGGAGGGAGCUAGCGUUGUUCGGAAUUACUGGGCGUAAAGCGCGUGUAGGCGGCCAUGCAAGUCGGAUGUGAAAGCCCUCGGCUCAACCGGGGAAGUGCACUCGAAACUGCAAGGCUAGAGUCUCGGAGAGGAUCGUGGAAUUCUCGGUGUAGAGGUGAAAUUCGUAGAUAUCGAGAGGAACACCGGUGGCGAAGGCGGCGAUCUGGACGAUGACUGACGCUGAGACGCGAAAGCGUGGGGAGCAAACAGG
Molecule: ribosomal RNA, 253 nt
Filed under: uncultured bacterium
Lineage: Bacteria
Description: partial 16S ribosomal RNA
Rfam family: Bacterial small subunit ribosomal RNA
Source: RNAcentral